RNAcentral lists this ribosomal RNA (253 nucleotides) under uncultured bacterium. Its description in RNAcentral is "partial 16S ribosomal RNA". It matches the Rfam family "Bacterial small subunit ribosomal RNA", at positions 524 to 776 of the family's 1533-position model. The record is from RNAcentral.
UACAUGUGGGGCAAGCGUUGUUCGGAAUUACUGGGCAUAAAGGGUGCGUAGGCGGCUUGUUAAGUCAGGGGUGAAAGUUUUCGGCCCAACCGGAAAAUUGCCUUUGAUACUGGCGAGCUCGAGUGCGUGAGGGGUAACCGGAACGAGUGGUGUAGCGGUGAAAUGCGUAGAUAUCACUCGGAAGGCCAAAGGCGAAGGCAGGUUACUGGUACGCAACUGACGCUGAGGCACGAAAGCGUGGGGAGCAAACAGG